RNAcentral lists this long non-coding RNA (243 nucleotides) under Helianthus annuus (common sunflower). RNAcentral's name for it is "hypothetical non coding rna". Lineage: Eukaryota; Viridiplantae; Streptophyta; Magnoliopsida; Asterales; Asteraceae. The record is from RNAcentral.
GGUGAAAAAACUCCAACCCAGUCAUCAUUAGUUGGCUCAGGGUACUCAAAUUUAAUGUUGACCCAUUCCAUCCAAGAAUGAAAGGGUUAGCGUGAAUGUAAGCUGAUUUAUGGAGAGCAAUAACAGCUUUGUGAAUGGCGAUUUUGGCGAGUGGUUGUUCACCGAUGGGAACAUGAGGUCGAUGAUGCUCGAUACCAUUGUUUAGAAGACGAGAGUAAAAUGAAUCAUGACCACUAACUGUAU